Cajanus cajan (pigeon pea) is the source of this 2110-nucleotide non-coding RNA. The record is from RefSeq and is a predicted model, not a curated record. NCBI's taxonomy places the organism in Eukaryota, Viridiplantae, Streptophyta, Magnoliopsida, Fabales, Fabaceae.
UUCACUUUUACAACAUCUCUUUUUCACUUAUGCAACUCUCAUUUUCAUUUUCAUUUACCCGCAAUGUUCCCCAACUAUCUCAUGUUCAUUUUCGUUCCACAAACGAGAAGGAAGGGAAGGGAAGGCACAUGAGGUAGCAGGCGCGGGGGGUGGCGGGCUUGACACGGGGCGGCUGCGCAACAGGUGGUGGUGUCCACGGAGUGGUAGGCGUGGGGGCGGCAGGCACGGGGAGUGGCUGGUGCGGGGGAUGGCAAUUGUGGCACCGGACGACAGCUAUACGAUAAGGUUCAUCAUCGUCGAUGACAAGGGUGUUGCGCUCCUCCGUGCUGUUCUAAGAUCUUCCAGCCGCACUCUUCCUUGCACUUCCAAGAGCUCUCUGACGCAAUAGUCCAAGGUUUCGCUCUUCCAUGCGGUGGUUUGUGGCUUUGGGCAUAAAGAUGUUUUUGAAGCUUCCAGCUUGGAGGGAUGAAAUAUUGAGAGCUCUCCAUUUGGUAUUUCACAGUCCUGAGCACGGAGCUUCAAGAAGGAACAGAUCUAAAAAAAAUUCAAUUUUUCUUGCUAGGAGUUAAAUUUGAAGACUGAGAAGUAAGUACGUUAUCAGGGCUACCCAUAACCUGAUUCACAGUAUUGGUAGUACGAUUCUUGAAAUAAUUUGGAGGAUAUCCAACCAGCUUGUAACAUGUAUCUCUGGUGUGCCCCAAUAUGUCGCAGUGUGCACACCUAGGCCUUUCUUUCUUGGUGAAUCUAUUCCUACUAGUUGCAGGUUGUGAAGAGUUGACAGUAAAGGCAAUGUUAUCUGAAUUAGCCAUAAGGAGAGAAGAAGUGACAGAAAUUUCACGUUGGGCUUCAUCUUGAAGAACAAGAGAGAAAACAUUUCCAAUGGAGGGUAAGGGGUCUGAAAGGAGAAUUUGACCCCGGAUUUGAGAAAAAGAUUCAUUCAAACCCAUCAAGAAUGACAUCAUAUAUUCAGAUUCAGUAAAUGAUUGAAGUUGUUGAAGUCCUCCACAGGUGCAUUGGAAGGUUGGUUUGUAGUCAGAUAAUUCUUCCCAGAUUGACUUUAGCUUGGUAUAAUAUGUGCUGAUAUCAUCCAUGCCUUGGUGGAGAGACAUCAAUUGGCGCCGGAGUUGAAAGAUGCGAGGACCAUUCUUUCUUGAGAAUCUUGUUUUUAAAACGUCCCAAAUUUCUUGGGCAGUAGACACAAACAGGAUGCUAGUAAUAAUAUCUUUGGAGACAGAAUUGUAGAGCCAAGAGAUGAUGACAUUAUUGGCACGAUUCCAAGUAGCAAAGGUUGAAUCAGUACUCGCAGGUUUCGGGAGGGUACCAUCAAUGAAGGCCAAUUUGUUUUUCAUAGAAAGGGCAACCUGCAUUGCUCUGCUCCAGGUGGUGUAAUUUUUAUGAUCAAGAGGUUGAGAUCUAAGAACAAGGCCAGGCCCAUCCAAAUGAUGUAGAAAAAGAGGAUUGGAGACAUCUUGGCUUGGAUCUUUUGCUUGAUCAGCCAUGAGUGGAUAAGGAAAUCAAUCAGAGUGACAGUUUGAGUGUUGGGGAAUGGAUAUUGGAUCGUAUUGAAUAAUCUCUUCUGAUACCAUGUUGAACUCACAUACAUGCACAGAGAUGCACACAAAGGUACUGAAGAAUAAUAAAGUUGAACAUAAUGAUGAGAGGAGGAAGAAGAAAGAAAAAGUGAAUGAUUGAAAAAUGCAUCUAUAUUUUGUAUUUUAGAAUGGAAAAGCCAAUAUAUAUACAAAAGAAGGAAAUUAAAAAAUAAACAAAAAUAACUAAUUAUAUAAGUCAUAUAAAUCCAAUACUUACUUUUAAGAUACACCUUAAGCAACUCUUAUCGGAGUUGAUCUUAGAACCCCUCCACAGGAAGAUAUGUCGCCAUUGAGUGCUCCAUCACAAUUUAGUUCCAGUUUGCCAACUGGUGGUGGGCCCUAACUGAUAAGAUCACACUUGGUUCUCGUGCCUCGAUUCAAAAGGUUGUGGCUAAAACCCUUGAGUUGGAGCAACUCUGCUGCACGUCCACUUAUCUCAUGCACCACACUAUUACUAUUGAAAGUACCACCUCAAAAAACCAUGUUAUUCCUCGUUUGUCAAAUAACGUUUAUCCCAA